UAGGGAAUCUUCGGCAAUGGGGGGAACCCUGACCGAGCAACGCCGCGUGAGUGAAGAAGGUUUUCGGAUCGUAAAGCUCUGUUGUUAAGGAAGAACGAGUGUGAGAAUGGAAAGUUCAUGCUGUGACGGUACUUAACCAGAAAGGGACGGCUAACUACGUGCCAGCAGCCGCGGUAAUACGUAGGUCCCGAGCGUUGUCCGGAUUUAUUGGGCGUAAAGCGAGCGCAGGCGGUUAGAAAAGUCUGAAGUGAAAGGCAGUGGCUCAACCAUUGUAGGCUUUGGAAACUGUUUAACUUGAGUGCAGAAGGGGAGAGUGGAAUUCCUAGUGUAGCGGUAAAAUGCGUAGAUAUAUGGAGGAACACCGGUGGCGAAAGCGGCUCUCUGGUCUGUAACUGACGCUGAGGCUCGAAAGCGUGGGGAGCGAACAGG
RNAcentral lists this ribosomal RNA (429 nucleotides) under Verrucomicrobiota bacterium. Its description in RNAcentral is "Verrucomicrobia bacterium partial 16S ribosomal RNA". It matches the Rfam family "Bacterial small subunit ribosomal RNA", at positions 355 to 776 of the family's 1533-position model. The record is from RNAcentral. Lineage: Bacteria; Pseudomonadati; Verrucomicrobiota.